GACGAACGCUGGCGGCGUGCUUAACACAUGCAAGUCGAGCGGUAAGGCCUUUCGGGGUACACGAGCGGCGAACGGGUGAGUAACACGUGGGUGACCUGCCCUCCACUUCGGGAUAAGCCUGGGGAAACUGGGUCUAAUACGGGAUGGGACCAUUCCAUGCAUGUGGGAUGGUGGAAAGUCGGUGCUGUUGUGGUGCUGGCGGUGGGGAGUGGGCCCGGCGGUCUAUCAGCUUGUUGGNGGGGUGGAUGG
RNAcentral lists this ribosomal RNA (249 nucleotides) under uncultured bacterium. Its description in RNAcentral is "partial 16S ribosomal RNA". It matches the Rfam family "Bacterial small subunit ribosomal RNA", at positions 28 to 263 of the family's 1533-position model. The record is from RNAcentral.